AGAUGUGACCAAAGACAAAGAAAAGAACAUUUGCAUGCCAGGCAAACAAAGCCAUCGGGAGGGCAAGUGGGGGAAAAGUAAUCAUUUAUAGAGCCCUGCACACAUACAAAAUUUGUAACCGCAUCCAAUCCGCAAACAUGGUCUGCGGAUAGCUGCAGAUUUGCAGGGCUGUAAUCAUUUAACAAUCUCAAGGGGGUGGAGGGAGGAGGAAGACUGCACCCCCAGGAAAUCUUCCUACCUUUUGAGACAGGGUCAAUGAACUUUGAGAGAGAGACUUUUAAAGGUUUACUGGACUAUACAGACAGCAGCAGAGAACCCUUAAGUUAUCCUUCACCCGAGGAGUUAAGAAAAACCAGCAUCUUGGGCUCUGUGGGGAUCCUGACUAAGAGCCAGUCAGCCAUUGCUGGAAAAGGAAGACUGGUCAGAGGCAGGAAGCGGGAGCCGGGCAGUGCAGGGCAGCUGCUGCUCUGGCUGGUGCCAUGGAACAGGCAGCUGCAGUGUUCCCUCCUCUCCUACUGGUGCCCCAGACUGAAGCGGCUCCUCAGCUCCCAGCUCUCAUAUUGCCCUGAAAGAGCACCACAUAAGAGAUAAGAGCCUGUUACUCAAUUAUCUUCUCAGAGAUUCUCUGCACGGCUGGAGAAGGAAGGAUGCAUGUAACCCUAUCGACUGCCCCUGCCUGGCAGGUAUCCAUCCCUUCCACCCUACUGCAGACCCCUAAUCUGCAGAGGGGUCCUUUUGAGGUCAUGAGUGCAGGGAAGAAACAGUGCCAUGAUCAUGGCUGUGCUCAAUUAAAAGGAGGAGGGCCAAAUUUGUACAUGAAUCUCUGGUACAGGAAAGAAAAAGGAAGGGAGCAGAAUAUAGGCCACUCUUUCCCCCCCCCGUAUACACAUACAGUCAUGGUUAUUGUACAUUUAUUUAACAGAGCAAACUCGAGACUCAGUAAUUAAUAAUAGAAUCUCUUGAAUAAUGGAAAGGGCAAUUUUCAGUGAAGUUACUUUCCUGAUCCUUUUUUUCCCCUCAACAAAAAGCAGAAGGAGCUGUAAACAAAUUCAGGGAUAUUUCCCAUCAAAUUGCAGCUUUUUCUUUUGGGGUUAUAAAUUACUAUUUUCUUAAUAGUUCCUGCUAUUUUGCUCAUUUAUUACCUUCCAUUGGAUCUCAGGAAAUAGCCAUACUUUUUAGAAAAAUUAAGUGAAUCUAUUUAAAAGAUUCACUGUGCUCCUCUAAAAAGUUUUAUUCAGUCUUCACUUCCUUUUCUUGUGGGUAAACUCAGUGAAAAACUAGUAAUAGUUUUCAAAUCAGGUUUAUUUAAAGGUAGGGGUUUUGUUUGUUUCACUUAACUCAAACUCCUGACAAAUACUUGAGGAAGAAAUCAUCUUUGUGAAAAAUUCAACACUCCUCCCCUUCUACUGAUGGGGUCCUUAAGAAAUCUCUCCAGCAAAAGCAGAAAAGUCAAACUUUUGACAUUUUUAAAGUUUAUAACAAAAAACAAAAAACAAAAACUUGUUUGAAAAUACAUGAAGCUCUCUUUAUACAUCAUACAAGAGCAGGAAAGGGCAUGAGCUAUAAAAAGUGUUUGCCUAUGCCAUUCACCUUCAAGAAUUUUGGUUGCUGUUUUAACUAUUAAUUGUCUAGCUGACCAGCUUCGAAAGACUAGCCUUUCUUUAAUCAAAGAAGGAACAAGUUUUUCUGAUGUCUAAAUAUAGAGGAAUGUACUCCUAAAAGGAGCCUAACCUAUGUUUUCAAGACAUGCAAAUAAAUCUAUUAAUUUCAACUAAGAUCUGAGUCUACAGACUAAACUAGAGAGAAGAAUGUUGCUAAUUCUUACUAUCGACAGGGUGAUCCAUUACAGAUUAUGUACAGUGGAAAGUAAUGUUUUUAAAAACAAAGGAUACUGCACUUACUUUGAUAAGCGGGUUUUUUUUACAUUUAUAAUACUCCACAGAACACUAAAGCUGUACUGUAGCAUCUCCUAAAGGUAAUUAAAUCUUAAUGAAACCUAA
Chrysemys picta bellii (western painted turtle) is the source of this 2000-nucleotide non-coding RNA. NCBI's taxonomy places the organism in Eukaryota, Metazoa, Chordata, Testudines, Emydidae. The record is from RefSeq and is a predicted model, not a curated record.